UACGAAGGGAGCUAGCGUUAUCCGGAUUUACUGGGUUUAAAGGGUGCGUAGGUGGAUUUGUAAGUCAGUGGUGAAAUCUCCGAGCUUAACUCGGAAACUGCCAUUGAUACUAUAAGUCUUGAAUUAUCUGGAGGUAAGCGGAAUAUGUCAUGUAGCGGUGAAAUGCUUAGAUAUGACAUAGAACACCAAUUGCGAAGGCAGCUUACUACGGAUAUAUUGACACUGAGGCACGAAAGCGUGGGGAUCAAACAGG
This 253-nucleotide ribosomal RNA is filed under the name uncultured bacterium. RNAcentral describes it as "partial 16S ribosomal RNA". It matches the Rfam family "Bacterial small subunit ribosomal RNA", at positions 524 to 776 of the family's 1533-position model. The record is from RNAcentral.